UCCAGGAGGUUCUGGGCCAAAG
RNAcentral lists this small nuclear RNA (22 nucleotides) under Arabidopsis thaliana (thale cress). RNAcentral describes it as "snRNA_13437". The record is from RNAcentral. Lineage: Eukaryota; Viridiplantae; Streptophyta; Magnoliopsida; Brassicales; Brassicaceae.